CAAUAGCGUAUAUUUAAGUUGUUGCAGUUAAAAAGCUCGUAGUUGGAUUUCGGUUGAGAACGGCCGGUCCGCCGUUUGGUGUGCACUGGCUGGUCUCAACUUCCUGUAGAGGACGCGCUCUGGGUUAACGCUCGGACGCGGAGUCUACGUGGUUACUUUGAAAAAUUAGAGUGUUCAAAGCGGGCUUACGCUUGAAUAUUUCAGCAUGGAAUAACACUAUAGGACUCCUGUCCUAUUUCGUGUCUCGGACGGGAGGUAAUGAUAAGAGGAACAGUUGGGGGUCGAUUCGUAUUUCUAUUGUUCAGAGGUGGAAAUUACUUGGAUUUAUUGAAAGAACGAACUUCUGCGAAAGCAUUUGUCCAAGGAUGUUUUCUAUUAAUCAAGAACGAAAGUUAGGGGGCGUCGAAGAUGAUCAGAUACCAU
RNAcentral lists this ribosomal RNA (423 nucleotides) under uncultured eukaryote. Its description in RNAcentral is "SSU rRNA". It matches the Rfam family "Eukaryotic small subunit ribosomal RNA", at positions 592 to 1018 of the family's 1831-position model. The record is from RNAcentral.